ACGAACGCUGGCGGCGUGCUUAACACAUGCAAGUCGAACGGAAAGGCCCUGCUUUUGUGGGGUGCUCGAGUGGCGAACGGGUGAGUAACACGUGAGUAACCUGCCCUUGACUUUGGGAUAACUUCAGGAAACUGGGGCUAAUACCGGAUAGGAGCUCCUGCUGCAUGGUGGGGGUUGGAAAGUUUCGGCGGUUGGGGAUGGACUCGCGGCUUAUCAGCUUGUUGGUGGGGUAGUGGCUUACCUAGGCUUUGACGGGUAGCCGGCCUGAGAGGGUGACCGGCCACAUUGGGACUGAGAUACGGCCCAGACUCCUACGGGAGGCAGCAGUGGGGAAUAUUGCACAAUGGGCGGAAGCCUGAUGCAGCAACGCCGCGUGCGGGAUGACGGCCUUCGGGUUGUAAACCGCUUUCGCCUGUGACGAAGCGUGAGUGACGGUAAUGGGUAAAGGAGCACCGGCUAACUACGUG
This 467-nucleotide ribosomal RNA is filed under the name uncultured bacterium. RNAcentral describes it as "partial 16S ribosomal RNA". It matches the Rfam family "Bacterial small subunit ribosomal RNA", at positions 29 to 507 of the family's 1533-position model. The record is from RNAcentral.